GAGGGUCGUCUGUUUGGCGGGAAGUGUUUGGUAUGGCUGCAUUUUCACCGAAUUUACGCUAUAAACCAAACGACAAUUCACGGUUUUGUCAAGGUUGGUAAAUNUUUAUGGCCUUGGCUAUCGAUCUGUCAGGAUUUCAGCGAUGGGAUUGAACUCAAAGACGGAAAAAAGAGGCGCUGAUGUUUCAUUAUUGGAUGAAGGGGACAACGAUGAAAGACCAAGUAAAAAACUAAAGCAGUUAGAUAACAAGGGGGGAUUAAAUGCAAUUAUUGCGGAGGAGUAUAAAACAUCAUCAGGACCUCCCUCUCCUGUUCCAUUCUUGUCUCCAGAUGGGCAUGUAACCAAACCAGCAGAGAUAUUUCGUACUGAUUUAAUAAGUGCUAUGAAGCUGCCGGACACACAGAUGCUUAAUCCAGAGAACUACAUGACNAUUGUAGAUCCUUGGCGACAAGAAUGGGAAAGAGGUGUCCAGGUUCCUGUACAUCCUGAGUGGCUCUCACAACCAUCCUUUACGGUGGUCGAUGCUCCAAAAAAGACUACUAAUUUUAAACUAUCUGGAAAAUUAUUAAACUCAGAAGAGAAACGGAAGGGAAAGGCACCUUGCAAUUAUGACCUAAAUAGAAUAGAUGCAGAAUGGCUGACAAACCUAAAUAAAUCCAGGCAAGCUAAAGGACGACUUGAACUUGAGGAAAGUGUUCUUGAGAAGGCCAUUUCGUAUUUAGAAGACAAGUGCUAUGAGAAUCUUGGUUAUGCAAUUGUAACACAAGAAGGACUAAGUAUAGAAUAUGAUGAGAGUGUUUGCUGUGAUGUCUGUCAGUCACCUGAUAGUGAAGAAGGCAAUGAGAUGGUGUUCUGUGAUUCCUGUGAUAUCUGUGUCCAUCAAGCAUGCUAUGGCAUACAACAUAUCCCAUCAGGCAGUUGGCUNUGUCAGCCAUGCAGUAGAGCAGUAACUAAGCCACCUUGUCAGCUUUGUACUAACCCUGGCGGUGCAAUGAAAAGAACUAAGAAAGGCAAGAACUGGGUUCAUGUCAGCUGUGCAUUAUGGGUACCUGAAGUAGGAUUUGGUUGUGUAGAGAGAAUGGAACCAAUUAUUAAACUAGAAAACAUCCCGGCAAGCAGGUGGAAUUUGGUGUGUUAUUUGUGCAGNGAGAAGGAAGGAGCGUGUAUUCAGUGCACGGUCAAGACAUGCAUGACAGCCUUUCACGUCACUUGUGGCUUCAAGAAUGGUCUUGAAAUGAAAACAAUUCUAGACGACACUGCAGUUGAUGGUGUUAGACACAUUUGUUACUGUGCUAAACAUGGACACAAGAACAAAUCACCUCCAAGAACACCAGAAAAGAUUAAACAAGACGCAGAAGAUGCGGAAAAUCAAAGACAAAAAAAGCUUAAGCAAAUGGAGACAGAGUUUUACAAGUACGUAGAUGUUGGCGAACUUGCUAAAGACCUUAAUAUGCCCAAGGAGUUAGCCUCAAGGAUACAUGCAUUCUGGACACUUAAGAGAAAGGCUCGAGACGACAUACCUUUACUGCCUCCAACCUUAGAGCAGCAAGAGAAGCUAUGUGGCAAACAGGGUGCUGCAAGCCGAACUCUACAAAUACAAAUAGAGGAACUUAUGAAGAUGCGAUGUGAUCUUGAAAGGUUGCGUAACUUGUGUUACAUGGUGAGCAAAAGAGAAAAACUUCGGCGGGAAUUAUUUCGCGUUCGUGAGCAAGUAUUCUGGAAGUCACGUGAUACCCUGACUGAAGAUCCCGUCGACGAUCAUGAUAUUCAGUGGAUCAGGGAGGCUUGUGGCAAGAACUUUUCAAGUGAUGGAAGUCUGCCACCAUCAUUGCCUUCUUUUGAAACCUCCUCGGAAUCUGUUUCUUCAUCGAGCGCGCCCNCGUGCAGCAGUGAAAAAACUGCAGCCGAGGAACUNCUUGUUGAGCACGAACCAAGUGACUGUUCCGAAGAUAACACGAAAGGAGGAUAUGAGUCGUCGGAUUCCGAAGACUCGCCUCGGAUCAAAACACGACGUCGAGUAAGGGGAGUCGGAAGGCCUCGUAAGCAAGUCGUGAAUCGCAUCCAGUCGGAUAACAGUGAUAAUCAACACGGUAGUAGUGUGAACAAAUCAAGUGGCGCUAAAGAUGGUUUGCAUUCAGANAUCAUAACGGAAGAGGACGAACAGAAUGGAGUGAUGGCUCCUCGAAGAUCUUUAAGGUUUUAUAAAGUCAGCAUGUCAUCAGAUGAAGAUCACUCUGACAUCAAGGAUGAGACUUGCGAGCAAAAGCGAGUAGAGAGUCUUAAUGCCAGCAGUAUAGGGCUGAACAAACCUCGAACACGAGGACAAACAACAUCUGAAUCGACAUCGGAUGAUACGGAAUUGGAAUCAGUACGAAGUGAUGAAACUAGUCCAAGCAGAAUUCUACGAAGCUGUAAAAAAGUCAGGCAAGAAUGUAAUCCUAAAGACACAUCAAACNCUUCUGGGGACAUAGAUAUUACGCCGUCUAGAGAGACUAGACGGACGCGAAGCUCACAGAGCGACAAUGAAGGGAAAACUGAGAUCCAAUUNACAAAUACUGAUGUCUUUACUUCGUCUGUCGUCGCCGAUGUCAAUAAAGAAGAAAAAGUGCUCAAAGAGAAUAAUAUCCGCGGUAGANGUGGUCGAAGUAGAACUCUAUCUCAAAGCGACGUCGAUGAAGAUAUUUUACCUGGCAAAAGAGCAAAAUUAGAAGUUAAAAGACGGUCAAAGGGACGAAGAAAAGUCCACGUGGAAUCAGACAACUCGCAGGUGAGAAUAACACAAUUUUUCAUGAAAAGAUCACCAAGACAAAAGCGUGGUAUCAAAUCACCGAAAGCUAAGUUCCUCAAUGGUUACAAGUCUCCGAAAUCUGCGAAAUCGACGGAAUCUGAAAGUUCCAAAUCUGACGAGGAGAAUUCAGAACACAGGGUAGAGCGUUUGUCAUCUUUGCGCUCGUUCAACCANUGUNGUGAUAACCUACCACCACAGUCGACGUGUCCAAAGUGUCAAAUCCAACAUGAUCAAAAAAGCAUGUCAAGAAGUCCCGACAGAAAAAACAAAGAACUGAGAGCCUGUAAUAUGCAGUCUCCAAAGUCGCGUAGCCGCCUUUUGUCAAGUUUGCGUUGUUCUCCCUCGCGUAAUUGCAGUAAUAGAAUGUCUCAGGUGNCGUCCGUCGUUUGACCAGACAUGUACAGUAGGNUUAAAGAUAACUGCGUAACUCUCCCUGUCGCAUGCACAUCGGAUUUGAAACACAUUGGAAUUUUUGUAUUUUGGUUGAAGAAGUUCCGCAAACCUAGAAAAAAAUACAGCCAUNUAACAACUUGUCAAAAUUUACUAGCGGUGUUUUUUAACCAUUAAAGUUUUUAUUUGCAUGACUAGAAUUUAUCCAAAGAGCUUAUAAUGCAACUCAAAAUGUUUUCCUUUAGAUACAAAAUGUUUCUCUAGAUACUAAAACGAUUUCAUCACAAUUUCUGUUUCUACUUCGCCUUGAUUUUAAAGGCUGGCUCUAAAGUUUGUGGUAUGCGACUGGGAAAGUUGCGCCUUGUAACUAAAAUGAAACUAAUUAUUCACGUAGAAGUAUACGUUAGUACACUAGUCUUUGACUAUGGAAGGCUUUGAUUUGAACAACUGACGGGGAAUCGUGAUGACAUUUUGUACUGCACUAGAAUCUAAUUGGCUGGUUUUAGUGACCCGAGGGAGGUGGGGGGUUCAAUUGACUGUUAGUGCAGCAUACAAGACGUCAUCCAUAGGGUAAAAGUUAUUUGGAGAUGUUUGAUAUCAUGAGGGAGCGGACGACGAAAAUCAGACUGUUUUUAUAUAGGCUUUUAUGGAGCACAUUUUACUGUAUCACAACCUGACGUUAGGGACGUCUAUUUUCAUAGCCAUUUUGUGCACAAUCGGUCAGCAAGUGUUUUUAAACCAUAAAAGUACUAUUAAACGUCCUAUUGUAUGCAUAUUUACCAGAUUCUANGAAAAGAAGGCGUAUUUAAAAUAUCUGGUUUGUAGUUGGGCUUUGUANUUAUCAAAAUUACAACUGACGCUUGUACCAUUGAAGUGUUCCGCUCUUUGAAAAGCGAUUCGGUCUAAGAUUUUAAGUGAAGGAAGUCUUACAAAGCAACACGAAUGAGUAGCGAGGCUACCAUCUCAUAGUUGUAGCCUUGUGAUAUAGCAGCCUUGCUCGUGGUGCUUGUAAGCAGGGGUUAUAAGAUAAUGCAGAGCGGAUAACAAAAUCGUACAAUGUUUCAUUGUACAUUAGGACUCGAUGCUACUUGUAGAACAGAUUUUCGUUGUAAAUUUUCUUUGGAAGAAAAGACACAUAGCUGAAUGAAGCUCUACUUGUGGCUUUGAAUCCUCAUGACUUAGGAGCAACGUUGGANGUUAACGUUUUACGAAUUUCGUUAUCUAUGUUUGCACUCGGUGGACUAGUCUUAGUUUAAAUUAAUACACACAGAAAUGAAAGACAUCAGAGAAGUUACUCGAAAAAGAAAGCUAAGUCCGAAAGGGAGCACGGGAAGGCAAUUUUUUGGCUUGUGGUAUGGUGUCCAUGGAAAACGAUCGACACUGCAAAUGUGCACGUUCUUAGAUAAUGGACUAUUCUCUUAAAAUCUCAUUACUGAAUAGUCAGUACGGCAGUAGCCUCGUUCCUAGGAUGGAAAUCAAUAGAAUAAUCGAUCAAUUUAUACAUAGAUUCGAGGCUUGUGUUGGAAUCUUGAGAAUGGUCAAUAUGAUCCCCACAUUUCAGUAUACCCAAAAUCCACUUCGGUCUUAGCUUCUUUGAGCCCACGUUUCUUAAUUUGGUCACUGUGUUUCGUUAUGGAUCGAAAGAUAUUGGGUGAAGGCCUAUCAAGGCUGAUUUCACAAAGCAAAUUAUGGCAACAGUAUCGUGUUUGUAGUAUAGCACACAAAUAUAUUGAUCUCUUAAAAGUUUUUAGCUUUUAGAUCAUGAGUGUAAUCUCGUCAAUAUUUUAGCAAAUUAAAGAUGGAGAAGGAGAAAUCUCUA
RNAcentral lists this unclassified non-coding RNA (4997 nucleotides) under Exaiptasia diaphana. RNAcentral describes it as "e3 ubiquitin-protein ligase Jade-2, transcript variant X1". Lineage: Eukaryota; Metazoa; Cnidaria; Anthozoa; Actiniaria; Aiptasiidae. The record is from RNAcentral.